Molecule: long non-coding RNA, 575 nt
Filed under: Nicotiana benthamiana
Lineage: Eukaryota; Viridiplantae; Streptophyta; Magnoliopsida; Solanales; Solanaceae
Description: long non-coding RNA (NBEN_LNC036461)
Source: RNAcentral
CAGAUUCUGCACUACUCUCAAUACUACGAGGAAAGGAAGCGCGGGUGUGUUUCCCGAGCUGACAUGACUCACACUCUAAUGUGGAUAAACUGGACAAACGAGGCAUCAUCUUCUGAAGUUUGGACAAGCUAGGAUGUCCUAAACGACUGUGAAGUAGGUCUGGAGGAUCUGCAGCUAGACAGGCCUUAGAGGAUGUUAGGGAGUCUAGGAUGUCCUAAACGACUGUGAAGUAGGUCGGGAGGAUCUGCAGCUAGACAGGCCUUAGAGGAUGAUAGUGAGUUAAGGUAAUAGAGUCCGUCUGAUUCAAGUCCUGUUCCAAUCGUCUGUCCCGUACUGGGGUCCUGCAUAAUAAAAGAGUCAUCAAUAAAAUAUAUUCCGCAAUGGGGGGCAAGAAUCAAACGACUAACAGAUGCAAGAUUAAAAGGACAGCCAGGGACAUAAGAGGAUCUGCAACUAGAUAGGCCUUAGAGGAUGUUAGUGAGUUAAGGUAGUAGAGUCCGUCUGAUUCAAGCCCUAUUCCAAUCGUCUGUCCCGUACUGCGGUCCUGCAUAAUAAAAGAGUCAUCAAUAAAAUAU